Molecule: ribosomal RNA, 497 nt
Filed under: uncultured bacterium
Lineage: Bacteria
Description: partial 16S ribosomal RNA
Rfam family: Bacterial small subunit ribosomal RNA
Source: RNAcentral
GAUGAGCGCUGGCGGCGUGCCUAAUACAUGCCAGUCGAGCGAACAGACGAGGAGCUUGCUCCUCUGACGUUAGCGGCGGACGGGUGAGUAACACGUGGAUAACCUACCUAUAAGACUGGGAUAACUUCGGGAAACCGGAGCUAAUACCGGAUAAUAUAUUGAACCGCAUGGUUCAAUAGUGAAAGACGGUUUUGCUGUCACUUAUAGAUGGAUCCGCGCCGCAUUAGCUAGUUGGUAAGGUAACGGCUUACCAAGGCAACGAUGCGUAGCCGACCUGAGAGGGUGAUCGGCCACACUGGAACUGAGACACGGUCCAGACUCCUACGGGAGGCAGCAGUAGGGAAUCUUCCGCAAUGGGCGAAAGCCUGACGGAGCAACGCCGCGUGAGUGAUGAAGGUCUUCGGAUCGUAAAACUCUGUUAUUAGGGAAGAACAAAUGUGUAAGUAACUAUGCACGUCUUGACGGUACCUAAUCAGAAAGCCACGGCUAACUACGUG